GCCCAGAUGGCGGAAUUGGUAGACGCGUUGGUCUCAAACACCAAUAACUUCACGGUUGUGCCGGUUCGACCCCGGCUCUGGGUA
RNAcentral lists this transfer RNA (84 nucleotides) under Adhaeribacter sp. RNAcentral describes it as "tRNA-Leu". It matches the Rfam family "tRNA". Rfam says of the family: Transfer RNA (tRNA) molecules are approximately 80 nucleotides in length. Their secondary structure includes four short double-helical elements and three loops (D, anti-codon, and T loops). Further hydrogen bonds mediate the characteristic L-shaped molecular structure. tRNAs have two regions of fundamental functional importance: the anti-codon, which is responsible for specific mRNA codon recognition, and the 3' end, to which the tRNAs corresponding amino acid is attached (by aminoacyl-tRNA synthetases). tRNAs cope with the degeneracy of the genetic code in two manners: having more than one tRNA (with a specific anti-codon) for a particular amino acid; and 'wobble' base-pairing, i.e. permitting non-standard base-pairing at the 3rd anti-codon position. Lineage: Bacteria; Pseudomonadati; Bacteroidota; Cytophagia; Cytophagales; Hymenobacteraceae. The record is from RNAcentral. RNAcentral also lists the same sequence under 7 other names.